This 484-nucleotide ribosomal RNA is filed under the name uncultured bacterium. RNAcentral's name for it is "partial 16S ribosomal RNA". It matches the Rfam family "Bacterial small subunit ribosomal RNA", at positions 30 to 507 of the family's 1533-position model. The record is from RNAcentral.
AUUGAACGCUGGCGGCAGGCCUAACACAUGCAAGUCGAGCGGAUGAAGGGAGCUUGCUCCUGGAUUCAGCGGCGGACGGGUGAGUAAUGCCUAGGAAUCUGCCUGGUAGUGGGGGAUAACGUCCGGAAACGGGCGCUAAUACCGCCUACGUCCUGCGGGAGAAAGUGGGGGAUCUUCGGACCUCACGCUAUCAGAUGAGCCUAGGUCGGAUUGGCUAGUUGGUGGGGUAAAGGCCUACCAAGGCGACGAUCCGUAACUGGCCUGAGAGAAUGAUCAGUCACACUGGAGCUGGGACACGGUCCAGAGUCCUACGGGAGGCAGCAGUGGGGAAUAUUGGACAAUAGGCGAAAGCCUGAUCCAGCCAUGCCGCGUGUGUGAAGAAGGUCUUCGGAUUGUAAAGCACUUUAAGUUGGGAGGAAGGGCAGUAAGUUAAUACCUUGCUGUUUUGACGUUACCAACAGAAGAAGCACCGGCUAACUUCGUG